This 517-nucleotide ribosomal RNA is filed under the name uncultured fungus. RNAcentral describes it as "SSU rRNA". It matches the Rfam family "Eukaryotic small subunit ribosomal RNA", at positions 209 to 726 of the family's 1831-position model. Lineage: Eukaryota; Fungi. The record is from RNAcentral.
AUUAGAUAAAAAACCAAUGCCCUUCGGGGCUCCUUGGUGAUUCAUAAUAACUUAACGAAUCGCAUGGCCUUGCGCCGGCGAUGGUUCAUUCAAAUUUCUGCCCUAUCAACUUUCGAUGGUAAGAUAGUGGCUUACCAUGGUCUCAACGGGUAACGGGGAAUUAGGGUUCUAUUCCGGAGAGGGAGCCUGAGAAACGGCUACCACAUCCAAGGAAGGCAGCAGGCGCGCAAAUUACCCAAUCCCAAUUCGGGGAGGUAGUGACAAUAAAUACUGAUACGGGGCUCUUUCGGGUCUCGUAAUUGGAAUGAGUACAAUCUAAAUCCCUUAACGAGGAACAAUUGGAGGGCAAGUCUGGUGCCAGCAGCCGCGGUAAUUCCAGCUCCAAUAGCGUAUAUUAAAGUUGUUGCCGUUAAAAAGCUCGUAGUUGAACCUUGGACCUGGCUGAUCUGUCCUCCUAAUCGAGCGCACGGAUUCGGUCGGGUCUUUCCUUCUGGGGAGCCCUAUGCCCUUCACUGGG